Hippopotamus amphibius kiboko is the source of this 3764-nucleotide RNA transcript. It is a transcript of the gene named DDB1 and CUL4 associated factor 4, with no coding region annotated. Lineage: Eukaryota; Metazoa; Chordata; Mammalia; Artiodactyla; Hippopotamidae. The transcript is spliced from 16 exons. The record is from RefSeq and is a predicted model, not a curated record.
AACGGACGCAACUAACUGGCAGACACUGCACCUGGGUGGUUCCGGGUCUUUCCACGCUUCGCCUCCACGGCUGCCGACCCUGGGCCCAGCGGAGAGUCGGAAAGGACGCACUGAUCAAGAGCUGAAAUGCAUAAAAGCAGCUGGCAGAGUAGAAGACAUGGGAGAAGGAGCCACCAGUACAACCCUUGGUUCAGACAACAUGGUCAUAAUGAGAGGAGUAAUGGAGGGGCACAGCAGAGCCCACAGGGUUCCAGCCACAGCGAUGACGAGGCCCCCUCGACCUCCAGCACAGCUGGCAGUUCUUCUGUGCCAGAUCUACCAGGUUAUUACUUUGACCCUGAAAAGAAUCGCUACUUCCGCUUGCUCCCUGGGCAUAACAACUGCAACCCCCUCACGAAGGAGAGCAUCCGGCAGAAGGAAGUGGAGAGCAAAAGGCUGCAGCUGCUAGAGGAAGAGGACAGGCGGGGAAAGAAAAUAGCCAGGUUGGGAUUUAAUGCAUCUUCCUUACUACAAAAAAGCAAGCUGGGUUUUCUCAACGUCACCAGUUACUGCCGUUUAGCCCAUGAGCUGCGCGUGAGCUGCAUGCAGAGGGAAAAGGUCCAGAUUCAGAGCUCGGAUCCCUCCGCUUUGGCAAGUGACCGAUUUAACCUGAUACUGGCGGAUACCAACAGUGACCGGCUCUUCACGGUGAACGAUGUCAAAGUCGGGGGCUCCAAGUACGGCAUCAUCAACCUGCAUGGCCUGAAGACCCCCACGCUCAGGGUGCACAUGGAUGAAAACCUCUACUUCACCAGUCGGAAGGUGAAUGCUGUGUGCUGGGCCUCGCUGAAUCACCUGGAUUCCCACAUUCUGCUGUGCCUCAUGGGAAUGGCAGAGACGCCAGGCUGUGCCACCCUGCUCCCGGCAUCACUCUUUGUCAGUAGUCAUCCAGCAGGAGACCGGCCUGGCAUGCUCUGCAGUUUCCGGAUCCCCGGGGCCUGGUCCUGUGCGUGGUCCCUGAACAUCCAGGCAAAUAACUGCUUUAGCACGGGCUUGUCUCGGCGAGUCCUGGUGACCAGCGUGGUGACGGGACACCGGCAGUCAUUUGGGACCAGCAGUGACGUCUUGGCCCAGCAGUUUGCUCUCAUGGCUCCUUUGCUGUUUAAUGGCUGUCGUUCCGGCGAAAUCUUUGCCAUUGAUCUGCGUUGUCGAAAUCAGGGCAAGGGCUGGAAGGCCACCCGCCUGUUCCACGACUCAGCAGUUACCUCUGUGCAAAUCCUCCAGGAAGAGCAAUGCCUGAUGGCGUCUGACAUGGCUGGAACGAUCAAGCUGUGGGACCUGAGGACCACAAAGUGUAUCAGGCAGUACAAAGGGCACGUGAACGAGUAUGCCCACCUGCCCCUGCACGUGCACGAGGAAGAAGGGAUCGUGGUGGCAGUGGGCCAGGACUGCUACACGAGAAUCUGGAGCCUCCACGAUGCCCAACUGCUCAGAACCAUACCCUCCCCACACCCCACUUCCAAAGCCGACAUUCCCAGCGUGGCCUUCUCUUCUCGGCUUGGGGGUUUCCGGGGAGUGCCAGGACUGCUCAUGGCUGUCCAGCAGGACCUUUACUGCUUCUCCUACAACUAAUUCUGCAGGUUGCAGCCUGGAGGGAUGUGGAUGUGACUCAAGGGAGCAAAGGUAGCCCUAUUUUUGCCACAACUGCCACAAUUUCAGUGAGGGCAUUUCAAGCGGGGCUCUGUGUACACAUAUCCCAUCCAUCCAGCCGCUGGGGAAAAGGUGCUACGUUCUAUGUGGAGACACUUCAGUAAAGUUAUCUCAGUUAAGUUGUGGGCUCAAGAAGAUUAAAAGUCCUUUUCAUAAAAGCUGAUAAUUGCACCUCACUGUUGCUAGCCCAGGAUGCUUCACCAGUUAAACUCUCUUUGGUUACCCCCUUGAGUGUUACGCAUCAUCCGUGUCCUGCCAGGACCCUGCUACGACUUAAUGUGCAGAGAGAGAAAUCCAAAAGACAUGAGACUAUGAGGUGACUUCUGGACCCAUCUCUGCUUGCUCCUACCACCUGCCCACCUGCACUCUUGGCUUCAUGUGAAUGAAAGCAGCUGCUGCAAAAGCAAAAUGAACACUGCGUGUGCAGGGCAAGAAAAGAGAACUUUUGGUUAUUUUGACACUGGGUUACCUUCCUUUCUGGUCUGACUAGUGUAAGGAAGAGAGUUUGGAAGACUAUUUGGGAGAGAGAUAGGAAGACAUGCUUCCUUUGUGGUCUAGCAGACUCCCACGCUCAGGGGCGCCCCCAAGUGACAGGACACGAGACGGUGGACAGCAGUUGUUCAACAGGAGCCGAGCAGAAAGCAAAGCAGGGCAGAGAAACGAAGCCAGAGGGACAGGUACAAAGGGAGAAAACAGUCUUUUCCUGGUGUUUCCAUAGGUCCCUAGUAACACCUAGUCUCUCCUCCUGUGAGAGAGGAUUCCUCAGGGAAUAAACCAACUUAUCUACAGGUAAAAUACACCUCUUACUUCGCUUCUGUUCUGAAAGCCACCAGCUACUUUCCCAUCAACUAGAAAGAGGCAGCAAAAUGUACAGAUGAAGUUAAAGGAAAGAGGCGGCACAGUCCAUAUUCCGCAGGAGGAUUCCUUUAUAACGGCAAAUUUAAUAAUACACAGUACUAGAGCAGGGCCUCACUCACAGGCCACAGGAGGCAGAAAGGAAGCAGGUCUGAGAGGGACCAACACAUUCCAGGGCUCACGUCACAGUGACACGCCAAGAAUGACCGCCGCGUACCUCCCUGAAGCUCGGCCCACCCACCAGUUCAGUCAAGAACUAUGUCGCUUUCAAUUCUUCGUUUUUGGCCAUUGACGAUAAAAUCCACCGUGAUGACAGGAUUUCAGCACAACAGUCUCUUUCCAGUCACGAUAGAUAUGGAUGUUUCUUGAGAAACAAAAGUUCAUCUGACUUCUCUUGCCAGAACCGGAGAGAGAAUUUUUUCUUAAUGAUCUGUUGAAAUAUUUACAUAUACUUUAAAAAAACCACUAACAGUCCAUUCUGUGCUCUGUUUCCCUGGAAUAUUUCUCAUGAUCACCCCUCCAAUAACUAGAGGGGUCCUGUGUCUAGGAAUAAAGAAUUAAGACACUUCAAAAUAAGCAAAAACCCUAGUGCAACACUCAGUAGAUGGUGGGCUGAAGGAGUUGGAAGAGGAGGGAAGCAGGUGCUCUAUUUCAAGGCAGGGAAAGCCAAGUGGUCACACAGACGGAAGCAACAACAAGCAGGAAGCACUGCUGGGGAAGGCUUGUCUCCUUCCAUGCUCCCCCCGCACGAGGGCCAUCACGUCACCUGCGCUUGGACUUCUCAGGUCUGAGAACCCUACCCUCCCACCCGCCACCCAUCCGUGACCUGCACGCUAAGCUGGGUGGUCUCUGACCGAAACGGGCCUCGGCAAGGAAUUGGGCUCUGACUCUGGAGGGCCCAGGGAGAUCCCAGCAGGCUAUCCCAGGCAACAGGCACCUGGGACGCUCACCUGCCCCGUCUGGCAGCUGAGGGGCAUGAAGGCUUCAAAGGCUCGGAGAGAGGCAGCAAAAGGUGACUAGCAACGCAGUGGCCUUGGGCCUGGCUCGGUUUUGUGGGGAAGACCUGCUGCCACUGCCACCUGAUCCCUGUGCUGGGGACAGACUGUGCAGUCUUCAAGCCAGCAGCAGCCUGCAUACACUCCACACUCCUUUCAUACGUAUAUACGGGUAUGUAUUAUAUGUUUCUUAUUUUUAACUGAAAUAAAAUGCAAUGGAUUCAG